UAGGCUCUCGUUGGUGACCAGCGGAGGGACAUUACCGAGUUUACAACUCCCAAACCCCUGUGAACAUACCAAUUGUUGCCUCGGCGGAUCAGCCCGCUCCCGGUAAAACGGGACGGCCCGCCAGAGGACCCCUAAACUCUGUUUCUAUAUGUAACUUCUGAGUAAAACCAUAAAUAAAUCAAAACUUUCAACAACGGAUCUCUUGGUUCUGGCAUCGAUGAAGAACGCAGCAAAAUGCGAUAAGUAAUGUGAAUUGCAGAAUUCAGUGAAUCAUCGAAUCUUUGAACGCACAUUGCGCCCGCCAGUAUUCUGGCGGGCAUGCCUGUUCGAGCGUCAUUUCAACCCUCAAGCCCCCGGGUUUGGUGUUGGGGAUCGGCGAGCCCUUGCGGCAAGCCGGCCCCGAAAUCUAGUGGCGGUCUCGCUGCAGCUUCCAUUGCGUAGUAGUAAAACCCUCGCAACUGGUACGCGGCGCGGCCAAGCCGUUAAACCCCCAACUUCUGAAUGUUGACCUCGGAUCAGGUAGGAAUACCCGCUGAACUUAA
Molecule: ribosomal RNA, 542 nt
Filed under: Fusarium oxysporum
Lineage: Eukaryota; Fungi; Ascomycota; Sordariomycetes; Hypocreales; Nectriaceae
Description: eukaryotic LSU rRNA
Rfam family: 5.8S ribosomal RNA (bases 183-336)
Source: RNAcentral